CCUACGGGUGGCAGCAGGGAGGAAUAUUGGUCAAUGGGCGCGAGCCUGAACCAGCCAAGUAGCGUGAAGGAUGACUGCCCUACGGGUUGUAAACUUCUUUUAUAAAGGAAUAAAGUGAGGCACGUGUGCCUUUUUGGAUGGACGUUAUGAAUAAGGAUCGGCUAACUCCUUGCCAGCAGCCGCGGUAAUACGGAGGAUCCGAGCGUUAUCCGGAUUUAUUGGGUUUAAAGGGAGCGUAGAGGGGUUGUUAAGUCAGUUGUUCAAGUUUGCGGCUCCACCGUAAAAUUGCACUUGAUACUGGCAGUCUUGCGUACCGUUGAGGUCGGCGGUAUUCGUGGUGUCGCGGUGAACUGCUUAGAUAUCACG
Molecule: ribosomal RNA, 366 nt
Filed under: uncultured bacterium
Lineage: Bacteria
Description: partial 16S ribosomal RNA
Rfam family: Bacterial small subunit ribosomal RNA
Source: RNAcentral